This 2127-nucleotide long non-coding RNA is filed under the name Ananas comosus (pineapple). RNAcentral describes it as "long non-coding RNA (ACOM_LNC032425)". The record is from RNAcentral. Lineage: Eukaryota; Viridiplantae; Streptophyta; Magnoliopsida; Poales; Bromeliaceae.
GAAAUAUAUAUAUAUAUAUAUAUAUAUAUAUAUAUAUAUAUAGAACUAGAUUAAUAUACUAUUAAUAGCAUCAAGUCAUUGGUGCUACCAAGUUUUUGGCCAUUGGAUUAAGCGAUGUGCGGUUAGGAUGAUGUGGGCCCCCUAGGGUUGAGUGGGUGGUUGGUUGAAUAGUAUGAUCUAACGGGUAAAAAUGAUCAAAAGGGUAGAUCUAACGGCGAAAAACUUGGUAGCACCAAGUAUUUGGUGCUAUCGAUAGCAUAGCAGCCGGACUCUAUAUAUAUAUAUAUAUAUAUAUAUAUAUAAUUAGGCUGGAAUACUAUUAAUAGUAAAACGCUCUUUUUGCUAUCAAGUUUUUAACCUUUGGAUGAAAAAUUGUAGAGUCGGUUAGAGUUGAGCGGUCCCCCUAGGGUUGAGUAGUCCUCACUGGGUUAUAGUAUUUAAUCCAAUGGUUAGAAAUAAUGAAAAGAGUUGAUCCAAAGGCUAAAAAAUUAGUAGCAAUAAUAGAAUUUUGCUACUAAUAGUAGCCCAGUCCAACUAUAUAUAUAUAUAUAUAUAUAUAUAUAUAUAUAUAUAGUGAGGCUAGUAUGCUUUUGGAAGCACGAAGCGCUCUGUGCUUUCAAGUUGUUUUCGAUGUUAGGACUUUCGAAUCGAUGAUCGGCUCCGUUAGAGUUGAUCUAGAGUAUUUAAAGUACCGANGAGUUGAUCUAGAGUAUUUGAAGUACCUAGAAAAUAAAUUUUGUGAUUUUUCGAUAUCAUUUGCCUAGUGAUCGAAGGGGCUCAAAAUCAAUAAUUUUAAUGGCUGUGGUGAGCCGGUUGCAAGUUUAACGGUAUAAAAAUAUCCAAAUCGCAUGAAAUUUUGAUAGAAAAUUCUUUAUACCAUAUAAAACAAGAUCAAUAACUUUGAUCUAAAAUUUUAAUGGCAUAUCAUCAUAUUUUGUAAGAUUUUUAUUUUUAGCCGUUGAUUUUGAGCCACUUCGAUCACUAGGCAAAUGAUAUCGAAAAAUCGCAAAAUUUAUUUUCUAAAUACUUCAAAUACUCUAGAUCAAGUCUAACGGAGCCGAUCGUCGAUUCGAAAGUCCGAACAUCGAAAACAAAGUGGAAGCACGGAGCGCUCCGUGUUUCCAUCAGCAUACUAGACGCACUAUAUAUAUAUAUAUAUAUAUAUAUAUAGAAUUGAGCUAGAAUAUUUUUAGAAGUAUCACCUCCUUGGUGCUUGUAGGUUUCUAGCCCUUGGAUCAAACACUAUUCCACCUACCACCAUCAUCCCAACCUUACAUCUCUCCAUCUAAGGGUUAAAAACUCAAAAACACUAACCUCUUCGUGCUUUUGAAAGUAUUCUAGCCCAACUCUAUAUAUAUAUAGGCUGGGGCUACUAUAGUCUUAUGAGUAUAAACCCCUUGUACUCAUAAAUUUUUAACCGUUGAUUGAUGGGAUGUGCGGUCAAGAUGAUGGUGGUCCCCAUUUAGAAUGAUAGUAGUCCCCUAGGAUUGAGUGGGUAGUUGGUUAAAUAGUAUGAUCUAACGGUUGAAAAUGGUUAAUAGAAUAAAUCUAAGGGCCGAAAACUUAUAAGAAUAAAAGAGCCAAUACUCAUAAAAAUAUAGUAGCCGAACUCAUAUAUAUAUAUAUAUAUAUAGAAAGAGAGAGAGAGAGAGAGAGAGAGUUGAGUUAUAAUACUCUCAAAAGCACCCCGGGGUUGGUGGGUGCUUUUGAGUUUUUAACUAUUGGAUGGAGAGAUGUAGGGUUGAGAUGAUGAUGGUAGGUGGUGGUAGGUGGAAUAGUAUUUGAUACAAAAGUUAUUAGUAAUCAAGGAAUAGAUUCAAGGGCUAAGAACUCAAAAGUACAAAAGGGUUGGUACUUUUGAAAGUAUUCUAGCUCAAUUAUAUAUAUAUAUAUAUAUAUAGAGUUGAGCUAGAAUACUUUUACAAGUAUCACCUGGGUGGUGCUUUAGUGUUUGUAGCUCUUGGAUGGAGAGAUGUGAGGUUGAGAUGAUGGUGGUAGGUGGUGGUAGGUGGAAUAGUAUUUGAUCCAAGGACUAUUAGUAAUUAAGAAGUAGAUCCAAUGGCUAAAACCUAAUAGCACCAUGGAGGUGAUACUUGUAAAAGUAUCCUAGCUCAACUCUCUCUAUAC